RNAcentral lists this ribosomal RNA (440 nucleotides) under uncultured bacterium. Its description in RNAcentral is "partial 16S ribosomal RNA". It matches the Rfam family "Bacterial small subunit ribosomal RNA", at positions 338 to 795 of the family's 1533-position model. The record is from RNAcentral.
CCUACGGGUGGCAGCAGUGGGGAAUAUUGCACAAUGGGGGAAACCCUGAUGCAGCAACGCCGCGUGAGUGAAGAAGUAUUUCGGCAUGUAAAGCUCUAUCAGCAGGGAAGAAAAUGACAGUACCUGACUAAGAAGCCCCGGCUAACUACGUGCCAGCAGCCGCGGUAAUACGUAGGGGGCAAGCGUUAUCCGGAUUUAAUGGGUGUAAAGGGAGCGUAGACGGCUGCGCAAGUCAGAAGUGAAAGCCCGGGGCUCAACCGCGGGACUGCUUUUGAAACUGUGUAGCUAGAGUGCAGGAGAGGUAAGUGGAAUUCCUGGUGUAGCGGUGAAAUGCGUAGAUAUUGGGAGGAACACCAGUGGCGAAGGCGGCCUGCUGGACAUUAACUGACGCUGAGGCACGAAAGCGUGGGGAGCAAACAGGAUUAGAUACCCCAGUAGUC